Long non-coding RNA from Photinus pyralis (common eastern firefly), 913 nucleotides. RefSeq lists it as uncharacterized. The transcript is spliced from 3 exons. The record is from RefSeq and is a predicted model, not a curated record. Lineage: Eukaryota; Metazoa; Arthropoda; Insecta; Coleoptera; Lampyridae.
AAUACCAGGUGCCAAUUUAGAUAGAAAUCGCGAUUAUGCUUUAAUUAUGGAUGGAUUCGCCAAUCAUCAAAUGGAAAAUCGAAGCACUACGUCAGUGUAAUGGCGGAAGCAGUUUGAAAUGUAUCACGUAGGUGGGAUGAAUCUACAUCUUAUUCAUCGGCUGCGAAUGACAGCCACGGAUAUAUUAAGUUUAUUUCCAUACCCACUUUUGCGCAAUUCCUUAUUGAUAACGCGUUUUUCACUUGAAGUCCCAAUUCGAGUAACACAAACACAGGAUGUUGUGCGAAUUUGGAGGCGUGACGUAUACGUAUGAAACUAACUGAAUUAUUAAUCGGCUUUAAGGUGGAGAUUAUGGCUAAUGGCACUUAAAUGGAAAGUUAUUUCAUUUAUCAGGAGAUAAGUACGUGACCUACAAUUUCGUGUAAUUGAGCAGACAAAAGAGUUUUCCAACACAACCGUUCGCCGAAUCAUCCCCAAACAACUGUCGGUAUUUCAGCGCAGCGUUGCGUCGGGUCGCGCGUCGGGUGGAAUGUAUUCGAUCAUUGUUGGAACCCUAUGGAGAAAUCCUUGUGGAUAAUGCAAUUUUGAACAAAUCUACACCCCCAUAUAUUCCAGAUAUGGCCCCAAGUACCUGUUUGGCAAAUUGAAAAAGGGCCGCAUCAGACACCAUUUCCGUGACGCAUAAAAGGUGAACAUUUGGGCACAUUUUAAGGACAAACCAAAAGAAUAUUUUUAGGAGUAUUUAUCCACCGUUAUUUGAAACUAUGUAAUUACUGUUGGGGGACAAAUAAAAUUUAAUUGUUGUUUAUUUGGCGCUGCUCUCCGAUUGUAAGUUUUGGAAAGCAUAAGUUGUUUACUAUAGUGGAGUGAAGAUUGAUUAUUAUUAAAAUUGUCCGCCAUCAUAAUUAUUUCU